UUUACUCAGUGCUGUUGCUUAAGCCUUGCCAUAGAAGUUUGACAUAGGUUGCGUUAUAUUUCUAUCUCGCACUCAGUUAGGCACUUUCUUGCAGCUAAUAGAGAUUUUAUGUGAUUGUGAUGGGGAGCUUUUGCUGGUCAGAAGAGUUUUAUUAGACAAAUUCUCUAUUUUUAUGGUUUAGAACAACUUUGUAGAUUGAAGGACAUAGUGUGUGCUAUUGGUUCUUGUAGCUUUAUUUGAACUCAGUAUCUUGUAGACUAUAGUAUCGUAUUAUGGUAUUGAUUGCAAUCUACUUAGUGUGAUCUAAGAUAGUUUCUCGAAUGUUUUUAUUAUCUGUUUAAUAGGGCAUGUGAUGUUUACAUCAAUGAUCAUUAUCCAGGUUUUGGAUAACAUGUAGGAGUCGGCUGGUAUGAAAUUAUGGUAUAUAAUUUCUUUUAGUUUAAAGGUUUAGUUUUAGAAGGAACAGAGAAAUGAUAUGGGUUUGUUUGUAUAUGGCACUACAACAAAAAGUCUCUUUAGCGACCAAGUUUUUCUCGAGGAAUUUAUUUUCCUCAGUAAAUGUCACAUUUUACAAGGAAUAAUUAAGUUCCUCACUAAAUGCCAUUAGAUUUUUUACGAGGAACAUAUUUUCCUCCCUAUAUAUGACUUUCUAUGACGAAUAUUUCAGUUCAUCACUAAAGGUGACCACAAUUUGGUCUCUCAAAUCGUCAUGUUAUUAGCGAGAAAAUAUGAGACUUCAGUGACAAAUUUUUUCAUCACAAAAACAACAUUCAACGAGGAAAUAAUGAUUUCGUCGUUAUUUGUUUGGCGGAAAAUUGUUUAGGACCCGCCAAAUUUGAUGGCAACAAAACUAUGGUUUCCUCCCUGAAAGUCUAUUUUCUACGAGAAACCAUUUCCUCGUUAAAAGAAACAAUUAGCGAGGAAAUAACACUUUACUCGUUAUUAGUUUGGCGGAUAAUUGAGUAAGGCCCGCCAAAUUAAUUGGCGACAAAACUAUGGUUUUCUCGCUAAAAGUCUAUGUUCUACGAGGAACCAUUUCCUCGUUAAAAGAAACAAUUAGCGAGGAAAUAACACUUUCCUCGUUAUUAGUUUAGCGGAUAAUUGAGUAAAACCCGCCAAAUUUAUUGGUGACAAAACUAUGGUUUCCUCGCUAAAAGUCUAUGUUAUACGAGGAAUCAUUUUCUCACCAAAAGAAGCAAUUAAUGAGGAAAUAACGCUUUCCUUGUUAUUAGUUUGGUUGAAAAUUGAGUACGACCCGCCAAAUUCAAUAGCGACAAAACUAUGAUUUCUUCCCUAAAAGUUUGUGUUCUAUGAGGAACCAUUUCCUCACUAAAAGAAGCAUUUAGUGAGAAAAUAACACUUUCCUCCUUAUUAGUUUAGUGGAAAACUAAGUAUGAUUUGUCAAAUCCAACGGCGACAAAAUUAUGGUUUCUUCGCUAAAAAACUGUUUUCUACUUGUCAAAAGAAGCAAUUAGCGAGGAAAUAACUAUUUUCCUCGUUAUUAGUUCAGAAAAUUGGGUAAGACCCUCCAAAUUGAACGGCGAAAAAAUGAGGAAAUUUGAGAUGAAGAGAUACGUUUACCUGCAAUAAAUGAAUAUAUAAAUAAGAUUACCAAUGAAUGACAUGUGCUAGGUGUCUAUAUUUGUCAUAAUCAUUUUUUUUAUUUUUUUAAAGUGUGGAAUGCAUUAUUGACAUAUUUGAUUUCAUGAUCAUUAAAAUUCAUAUACACAAGCAUUAUUCAUAUUUUUGCUUUAAAAGUAUGAUCAAAUAUCAUGGACCUCUUUAAAAUCGGAAGGUGGUAUUGUAUGAAUGAUUUCAUAGUUACUAAACAAGUUAGUGAUAAUUGAUUGUCCUUCACGAUACUAAUUUGAUAUGUUCAUUUGUAAACAUUAGUAUGAAUGACUCGUUUUCGCUUCCCGGGUUUCUGCAAUUGAGUUUCCCUUUACUACAUCUCUCCUACUUAAGAACCACUGCAUCAUACAUGGCAUGAAUUUAUAUUUCCUACCUCGAUAAUAUGACAAUGACUCAUGAUACAACCUAUUUUGUAUAUACAUGGAUACUGUUGUUCAAUAAUGAAUGUCUUUCUUGUUCAAUUUGAUGGAGUACAUGUGGAACACACUAUGCAAAAUGUGCUUGAUUGAAGUAUUUAGUUAUAAAUAAUGAUAGCAAGUAUUCAAAUAAAAUAUCAUUAAGCUAUUCACAAACAUAAACUUAUCCUAUAACCUAACCCCUAAUCCCUAAGCCCUAAACCCUAAAUCUAUUUUUAUUUUUAUAAGCGGCAUACCAAAGAAUUAGAGAAAAAAGAAAAGAUAAUAAAAAAACCGGGAUAGUGAUGAUCGAAGGCGGGCAUCGAAAAAAAGAAAGCGCUAAUCCAAAGUUUAAAAAGAAAAAAAUGAAGAUAAAAUACUCUUAGGGUAGUAGGAUAUCGCCCUUUUCUAUCUCCGCCGUUCUCCUCUCAUAGUCUGAUGAAGCUCUGUCUUCGUCUCUGAGGCUCCUCUUUGGAUCUACCAUCUUUGAAGCUCUCAUCUCAGACAAGGAGAUGUUGAUACCAGGUAAAUUCAAUCUUCUGUCGCUGCACUACCAAUUGCUCUCUUAUUCUAGGUUCGAAUUGGGUCUUUGCUACCAUAUUUGGUCCCACGUUUCAAGUUGGGGUCUCAACUUCCACUAGAUUGUGCACAGGGAAAUGUAGGGCAAUUUUCCUCAUAUAUGCUUCAUGCACAGGGCCUUGAAAUAAUUCAAAUUACUUCUGGAUCAAGAGAACCCAAUAAGAUAUUGGAGGUUCGGUUGUACUAUUGCUAGCUAGCUUCAUGCACAGGGCCUUGAAAUUACUUAUGGAUCAAGAGAACUCGGAGAAAAGUUUUGGGUUAGGAUGUUGUUGGAUACAACUUAUUUAUAUCAUGUGUGAAAUUGACCACCAGAUUUGAGUGGUCAUAACAUAUGAGAUGAAGCAACGUUUCAGAGAGUAUGUUAUGCAAUUCUGGAAACGAAUUUUAAGGUGCUAAAGCCCUAUACAAAACCUCUAAAAGAGAAAUUCCAUUUCUAGUGACGAGUUCCAAGUGCAAGAGUAGAAAAGAUUCCAAGAUUUGGGGAAGUAAUCAGGAGGAUGCCUAUGAUUUAGUUCACCAAUAACCAAAUGAUUUAGUUACUUCUAUAUUGGAUUUAGUACAGGACAAUCCCUAAACUCUUUUGAAUUAGUAUAUAGUAUUUGGUGUAACUACUUUGAAUUAGUACUUAUUGUAAGGGAAUACUUUGAGUUAU
Long non-coding RNA from Rosa chinensis, 3258 nucleotides. RefSeq lists it as uncharacterized. The record is from RefSeq and is a predicted model, not a curated record. The transcript has 6 exons. NCBI's taxonomy places the organism in Eukaryota, Viridiplantae, Streptophyta, Magnoliopsida, Rosales, Rosaceae.